This 1562-nucleotide ribosomal RNA is filed under the name Vibrio campbellii. Its description in RNAcentral is "bacterial SSU rRNA". It matches the Rfam family "Bacterial small subunit ribosomal RNA". Lineage: Bacteria; Pseudomonadati; Pseudomonadota; Gammaproteobacteria; Vibrionales; Vibrionaceae. The record is from RNAcentral.
AAAUUGAAGAGUUUGAUCAUGGCUCAGAUUGAACGCUGGCGGCAGGCCUAACACAUGCAAGUCGAGCGGAAACGAGUUAUCUGAACCUUCGGGGAACGAUAACGGCGUCGAGCGGCGGACGGGUGAGUAAUGCCUAGGAAAUUGCCCUGAUGUGGGGGAUAACCAUUGGAAACGAUGGCUAAUACCGCAUAAUGCCUACGGGCCAAAGAGGGGGACCUUCGGGCCUCUCGCGUCAGGAUAUGCCUAGGUGGGAUUAGCUAGUUGGUGAGGUAAGGGCUCACCAAGGCGACGAUCCCUAGCUGGUCUGAGAGGAUGAUCAGCCACACUGGAACUGAGACACGGUCCAGACUCCUACGGGAGGCAGCAGUGGGGAAUAUUGCACAAUGGGCGCAAGCCUGAUGCAGCCAUGCCGCGUGUGUGAAGAAGGCCUUCGGGUUGUAAAGCACUUUCAGUCGUGAGGAAGGUAGUGUAGUUAAUAGCUGCAUUAUUUGACGUUAGCGACAGAAGAAGCACCGGCUAACUCCGUGCCAGCAGCCGCGGUAAUACGGAGGGUGCGAGCGUUAAUCGGAAUUACUGGGCGUAAAGCGCAUGCAGGUGGUUUGUUAAGUCAGAUGUGAAAGCCCGGGGCUCAACCUCGGAAUUGCAUUUGAAACUGGCAGACUAGAGUACUGUAGAGGGGGGUAGAAUUUCAGGUGUAGCGGUGAAAUGCGUAGAGAUCUGAAGGAAUACCGGUGGCGAAGGCGGCCCCCUGGACAGAUACUGACACUCAGAUGCGAAAGCGUGGGGAGCAAACAGGAUUAGAUACCCUGGUAGUCCACGCCGUAAACGAUGUCUACUUGGAGGUUGUGGCCUUGAGCCGUGGCUUUCGGAGCUAACGCGUUAAGUAGACCGCCUGGGGAGUACGGUCGCAAGAUUAAAACUCAAAUGAAUUGACGGGGGCCCGCACAAGCGGUGGAGCAUGUGGUUUAAUUCGAUGCAACGCGAAGAACCUUACCUACUCUUGACAUCCAGAGAACUUUCCAGAGAUGGAUUGGUGCCUUCGGGAACUCUGAGACAGGUGCUGCAUGGCUGUCGUCAGCUCGUGUUGUGAAAUGUUGGGUUAAGUCCCGCAACGAGCGCAACCCUUAUCCUUGUUUGCCAGCGAGUAAUGUCGGGAACUCCAGGGAGACUGCCGGUGAUAAACCGGAGGAAGGUGGGGACGACGUCAAGUCAUCAUGGCCCUUACGAGUAGGGCUACACACGUGCUACAAUGGCGCAUACAGAGGGCAGCCAACUUGCGAAAGUGAGCGAAUCCCAAAAAGUGCGUCGUAGUCCGGAUCGGAGUCUGCAACUCGACUCCGUGAAGUCGGAAUCGCUAGUAAUCGUGGAUCAGAAUGCCACGGUGAAUACGUUCCCGGGCCUUGUACACACCGCCCGUCACACCAUGGGAGUGGGCUGCAAAAGAAGUAGGUAGUUUAACCUUCGGGAGGACGCUUACCACUUUGUGGUUCAUGACUGGGGUGAAGUCGUAACAAGGUAGCGCUAGGGGAACCUGGCGCUGGAUCACCUCCUUAUACGAUGAU